This 460-nucleotide ribosomal RNA is filed under the name uncultured bacterium. RNAcentral describes it as "partial 16S ribosomal RNA". It matches the Rfam family "Bacterial small subunit ribosomal RNA", at positions 338 to 795 of the family's 1533-position model. The record is from RNAcentral.
CCUACGGGGUGCAGCAGUGAGGAAUAUUGGUCAAUGGCCGGAAGGCUGAACCAGCCAAGUCGCGUGAGGGAAUAAGGCCCUAUGGGUCGUAAACCUCUUUUGUCAGGGAGCAAAGGCGUCCACGUGUGGACGAGAGGAGAGUACCUGAAGAAAAAGCAUCGGCUAACUCCGUGCCAGCAGCCGCGGUAAUACGGAGGAUGCGAGCGUUAUCCGGAUUUAUUGGGUUUAAGGGGUGCGCAGGCGGAUUUUUCAGUCAGCGGUCAAAUCGUGGGGCUCAACCCCAUCCAGCCGUUGAAACUGGGGAUCUAGAGUGUGCGAGAGGUAUGCGGAAUGCGUGGUGUAGCGGUGAAAUGCAUAGAUAUCACGCAGAACCCCGAUUGCGAAGGCAGCAUACCGGUGCACAACUGACGCUCAGGCACGAAAGCGUGGGUAUCGAACAGGAUUAGAUACCCUAGUAGUC